This 392-nucleotide ribosomal RNA is filed under the name uncultured bacterium. Its description in RNAcentral is "partial 16S ribosomal RNA". It matches the Rfam family "Bacterial small subunit ribosomal RNA", at positions 523 to 918 of the family's 1533-position model. The record is from RNAcentral.
AUACGGAGGAUGCGAGCGUUAUCCGGAUUUAUUGGGUUUAAAGGGAGCGUAGGCGGGAGCUUAAGUCAGCGGUUAAAUGGUGCGGCUCAACCGUGCCCUGCCGUUGAAACUGGGUUUCUUGAGAGUGCAAGAGGCGGAUGGAAUUCAUGGUGUAGCGGUGAAAUGCUUAGAUAUCAUGAAGAACUCCGAUUGCGAAGGCAGUCCGCUGGGGCACGUCUGACGCUGAUGCUCGAAGGUGCGGGAAGCAAACAGGAUUAGAUACCCUGGUAGUCCGCACGGUAAACGAUGAUUACCCGCUGUCGGCGGCAGACAGUCGGCGGCCAAGCGAAAGCGAUAAGUAAUCCACCUGGGGAGUACGCCGGCAACGGUGAAACUCAAAUGAAUUGGCGGGG